Molecule: unclassified non-coding RNA, 345 nt
Filed under: sea anemone metagenome
Description: partial contains small subunit ribosomal RNA and internal transcribed spacer 1
Rfam family: Eukaryotic small subunit ribosomal RNA (bases 1-153)
Source: RNAcentral
GCUCCUACCGAUUGAGUGAUCCGGUGAAUUAUUCGGACUGACGCAGUGCUCAGCUUCUGGACGUUGCGUUGGAAAGUUUCAUGAACCUUAUCACUUAGAGGAAGGAGAAGUCGUAACAAGGUUUCCGUAGGUGAACCUGCAGAAGGAUCAUUCCGUUUAACGCCAAGAAAGUUAUUUAUAUUGGAAAAAUUAAUAAUUUUUAUUUAAUUUUUUAAUUAAUUAAAUAAUUUAAAAUAAUUAUUUUGAAUUAACAAAGAAAUUUAAUAAUUAUUAAUUUGAAUAUAUAUUUGAUAAUUAGGGUGAAGUCGUAACAUGGUAGUGGUAGGUGAACCUGCAGAAGGAUCA